UCCCUGGUGGCUUAGACAGUAAAGCAUCUGUCUACGAUGUGGGAGACCCAGGUUCGAUCCCUGGGUUGGGAA
This 72-nucleotide transfer RNA is filed under the name Bos taurus (domestic cattle). It matches the Rfam family "tRNA". From Rfam's summary of the family: Transfer RNA (tRNA) molecules are approximately 80 nucleotides in length. Their secondary structure includes four short double-helical elements and three loops (D, anti-codon, and T loops). Further hydrogen bonds mediate the characteristic L-shaped molecular structure. tRNAs have two regions of fundamental functional importance: the anti-codon, which is responsible for specific mRNA codon recognition, and the 3' end, to which the tRNAs corresponding amino acid is attached (by aminoacyl-tRNA synthetases). tRNAs cope with the degeneracy of the genetic code in two manners: having more than one tRNA (with a specific anti-codon) for a particular amino acid; and 'wobble' base-pairing, i.e. permitting non-standard base-pairing at the 3rd anti-codon position. Lineage: Eukaryota; Metazoa; Chordata; Mammalia; Artiodactyla; Bovidae. RNAcentral also lists the same sequence under 4 other names. The record is from Rfam by way of RNAcentral.